Molecule: ribosomal RNA, 497 nt
Filed under: uncultured bacterium
Lineage: Bacteria
Description: partial 16S ribosomal RNA
Rfam family: Bacterial small subunit ribosomal RNA
Source: RNAcentral
GAUGAACGCUGGCGGCGUGCCUAAUACAUGCAAGUCGAGCGAACAGACGAUGAGCUUUCUCCUCUGACGUUAGCGGCGGACGGGUGAGUAACACGUGGAUAACCUACCUAUAAGACUGGGAUAACUUCGGGAAACCGGAUCUAAUACCGGAUAAUAUAUUGAACCGCAUGGUUCAAUAGUGAAAGACGGUUUUGCUGUCACUUAUAGAUGGAUCCGCGCCGCAUUAGCUAGUUGGUAAGGUAACGGCUUACCAAGGCAACGAUGCGUAGCCGACCUGAGAGGGUGAUCGGCCACACUGGAACUGAGACACGGUCCAGACUCCUACGGGAGGCAGCAGUAGGGAAUCUUCCGCAAUGGGCGAAAGCCUGACGGAGCCAUGCCGCGUGAGUGAUGAAGGUCUUCGGAUCGUAAAACUCUGUUAUUAGGGAAGAAAAAAUGUGUAAGUAACUAUGCACGUCUUGACGGUACCUAAUCAGAAAGCAACGGCUAACUACGUG